Molecule: ribosomal RNA, 327 nt
Filed under: uncultured Pseudomonadota bacterium
Lineage: Bacteria; Pseudomonadati; Pseudomonadota
Description: bacterial SSU rRNA
Rfam family: Bacterial small subunit ribosomal RNA
Source: RNAcentral
AUUGAACGCUGGCGGCAUGCCUAACACAUGCAAGUCGAACGGCAGCACAGUCGUAGCAAUACGAUGGGUGGCGAGUGGCGGACGGGUGAGGAAUGCAUCGGAAUCUGCCCGAUCGUGGGGGAUAACGCAUCGAAAGGUGCGCUAAUACCGCAUGAGAUCGAGAGAUGAAAGCGGGGGACCGCAAGGCCUCGCGCGAUCGGAUGAGCCGAUGCCGGAUUAGCUAGUUGGCGGGGUAAAGGCCCACCAAGGCGACGAUCCGUAGCUGGUCUGAGAGGAUGAUCAGCCACACUGGGACUGAGACACGGCCCAGACUCCUACGGGUGGCAG